GGAAAGCUCAGUGGCAGCGCAUCUGCUUUGCAUGCAGCAAACCUCAGGUUCAAUCCCUGGCAGCUCCA
Non-coding RNA from Podarcis lilfordi (Lilford's wall lizard), 68 nucleotides. The record is from the annotation of a GenBank genome assembly. Lineage: Eukaryota; Metazoa; Chordata; Lepidosauria; Squamata; Lacertidae.